RNAcentral lists this unclassified non-coding RNA (198 nucleotides) under fungal sp. RNAcentral's name for it is "partial internal transcribed spacer region". The record is from RNAcentral. Lineage: Eukaryota; Fungi.
AAGUCGUAACAAGGUUUCCGUAGGUGAUAGCUGCAUGGCAUCCCGAAGCAGUCAGUGUCUGAAAGUGUCAUUGAUUGUCUAAGGAUCUCGCCUCAACGAUUGCCAGACCCCUUUACAACCCCAUUACCUCUGUGAGUCGCGGGAAACUAGCGGCUAAAAAACCUCGAACAACUGUUAACAAUGGAUAUCUUGGUUCUC